Molecule: ribosomal RNA, 492 nt
Filed under: uncultured bacterium
Lineage: Bacteria
Description: bacterial SSU rRNA
Rfam family: Bacterial small subunit ribosomal RNA
Source: RNAcentral
GAGUUUGAUCCUGGCUCAGGAUGAACGCUAGCGACAGGCUUAACACAUGCAAGUCGAGGGGCAGCACAGGUAGCAAUACCGGGUGGCGACCGGCGCACGGGUGAGUAACGCGUAUGCAACUUACCUAUCAGAGGGGGAUAACCCGGCGAAAGUCGGACUAAUACCGCAUGAAGCAGGGGCCCCGCAUGGGGAUAUUUGCUAAAGAUUCAUCGCUGAUAGAUAGGCAUGCGUUCCAUUAGGCAGUUGGCGGGGUAACGGCCCGCCAAACCGACGAUGGAUAGGGGUUCUGAGAGGAAGGUCCCCCACAUUGGUACUGAGACACGGACCAAACUCCUACGGGAGGCAGCAGUGAGGAAUAUUGGUCAAUGGGCGUAAGCCUGAACCAGCCAAGUCGCGUGAGGGAUGAAGGUUCUAUGGAUCGUAAACCUCUUUUAUAAGGGAAUAAAGUGUGGGACGUGUCCUGUUUUGUAUGUACCUUAUGAAUAAGGAUCG